GAAGAGAGCUUGCUCUCUGAUUCAGCGGCGGACGGGUGAGUAAUGCCUAGGAAUCUGCCUGGUAGUGGGGGACAACGUCUCGAAAGGGACGCUAAUACCGCAUACGUCCUACGGGAGAAAGCAGGGGACCUUCGGGCCUUGCGCUAUCAGAUGAGCCUAGGUCGGAUUAGCUAGUUGGUGAGGUAAUGGCUCACCAAGGCGACGAUCCGUAACUGGUCUGAGAGGAUGAUCAGUCACACUGGAACUGAGACACGGUCCAGACUCCUACGGGAGGCAGCAGUGGGGAAUAUUGGACAAUGGGCGAAAGCCUGAUCCAGCCAUGCCGCGUGUGUGAAGAAGGUCUUCGGAUUGUAAAGCACUUUAAGUUGGGAGGAAGGGCAGUAAAUUAAUACUUUGCUGUUUUGACGUUACCGACAGAAUAAGCACCGGCUAACUCUGUGCCAGCAGCCGCGGUAAUACAGAGGGUGCAAGCGUUAAUCGGAAUUACUGGGCGUAAAGCGCGCGUAGGUGGUUUGUUAAGUUGGAUGUGAAAGCCCCGGGCUCAACCUGGGAACUGCAUUCAAAACUGACAAGCUAGAGUAUGGUAGAGGGUGGUGGAAUUUCCUGUGUAGCGGUGAAAUGCGUAGAUAUAGGAAGGAACACCAGUGGCGAAGGCGACCACCUGGACUGAUACUGACACUGAGGUGCGAAAGCGUGGGGAGCAAACAGG
Molecule: ribosomal RNA, 709 nt
Filed under: uncultured Pseudomonadota bacterium
Lineage: Bacteria; Pseudomonadati; Pseudomonadota
Description: bacterial SSU rRNA
Rfam family: Bacterial small subunit ribosomal RNA
Source: RNAcentral